CCCCAAUGGGCGAAAGCCUGACGGAGCAAAUAACCGCGUGAGGGAGGAAGGCUCUUGGGUUGUAAACCUCUUUUCUCAGGGAAGAAAAAAAUGACGGUACUUGAGGAAUAAGCAUCGGCUAACUCCGUGCCAGCAGCCGCGGUAAUACGGAGGAUGCAAGCGUUAUCCGGAAUGAUUGGGCGUAAAGGGUCCGCAGGUGGCUAUGUAAGUCUGCUGUUAAAGAACCUAGCUUAACUAGGUAAAAGCAGUGGAAACUACAAGGCUAGAGUGCGUUCGGGGUAGAGGGAAUUCCUGGUGUAGCGGUGAAAUGCGUAGAUAUCAGGAAGAACACCAGUGGCGAAGGCGCUCUACUAGGCCGCAACUGACACUGAUGGGACGAAAGCUAGGGGAGCGAA
This 395-nucleotide ribosomal RNA is filed under the name Nodularia sp. BN3. Its description in RNAcentral is "bacterial SSU rRNA". It matches the Rfam family "Bacterial small subunit ribosomal RNA", at positions 366 to 772 of the family's 1533-position model. The record is from RNAcentral. Lineage: Bacteria; Bacillati; Cyanobacteriota; Cyanophyceae; Nostocales; Nodulariaceae.